This is a long non-coding RNA of Acinonyx jubatus (cheetah), 1243 nucleotides long. RefSeq lists it as uncharacterized. The transcript is spliced from 2 exons. The record is from RefSeq and is a predicted model, not a curated record. NCBI's taxonomy places the organism in Eukaryota, Metazoa, Chordata, Mammalia, Carnivora, Felidae.
CCUGCCGCUCAGGAGGGGACGUAGGGGCGACUGGCCCAACCGCGGAAACUGGCAGACCCGCCACGGGACGGCCGAGGGCCCGGACCCGAGGGAGGGGGCCCCGACCGGACCCCGGCGUGAGCGAGUCGGGGAGGACGCGCGGCUCUUCAUGGGUUUGUAGGAGAUGCCCCCUACAAAUCACUGUUGAUCUCUUGGCUGCCGUUCCCUCGACCUGAAAGGAUACACUCUAUACUCCCAAACACUAGGAAUUCCAUGGGACUCCUCCAGCUUCUCCUUGUUUACGUGGCCUUUGAGCCAGAUUAUGCAAUGACCCCAAGGAGGCUCUCUUUCACAUCUGGUUCAUGGGAAACACUCAUGCUCUGAUUGCCUAACAAACUCUGGAAGAACAGGCUGAUUCCAAUUUACUAGAUACUCUCCCCUGCUCUACUUCCAAGCAGCAAGCCAGCUCUUCUCUUGAUCUCUAGAUUUCCCGAAAAGGAGUCAGACAUCAGCAAACGGUGACCUGAUAAAUUCAAAGGACAUACUUUAGGCUUUGCAACUUGAAGCCUCUCUCUUUUGACUCGAGGUGAGGAGGAAAUCACAUAUCUACUUCUCAUUGGGAGGGGAGCAAGGUUCAAACCCAUCAACAGCUGUCUCCAAAGGAAUCCUUUAAAAAAUUCCUCUCCCUUAUGGUGGAGAAAUUGCAACACCUUGGACAAAGUAUCAAAAUUAGUAUAGUCAAUAACAGGCAGAUAGAUAUUAUGCACCCCAAGAUGCGAUGCUCUGAGAAAAAUACAUCAUUUAUGUACCAUUUUGACCGGGGUCACAAACUGAAUAUAAUCAUGAGAAAAUAGCAAACAAAGUAAAAAGAAUUGUUCCUUUAAAAAAAUUUUUUUUCAGUAGUCUACAAAACUGCCAUUGUUCUAAAAGACAAAGAAAGGCUCCGGAACUGUUCCAGAUGAAAGAGACUACAGAGAACAGCCGAAUGUAGCAGGUACACUGCAACACCUAGAGGAGCAAAACAAAAGCUGGGAAGGACGCCAUUCAGCUGACCGACUGGAAUGUAAACUUAAGUUCUUCAAAGGAACUGUUUCAUGGUUAACAGUUCCUGCAGCGGAUAACUGUACUGUGGUUACAUAACACAAUGUCCUUUUUCUUAGGAAAUAUACAAUAAAGUAUCUGGAGACAGGUGUAACGUAUGCGGCUUAUUCUUAAAUAAUUUAGAAAAAAAUAGAGAAAGAGAAAGAAGGAUAAAACUCCAACA